CUAGUCCGUUCUCAUUCCCUCCUCUGAAGUUAUCUCUCACAAAUCAAAUUCUUCUCCCUCACUCUCUCUCUCUUCCAAAAUCAAAUCCCCUAUUUCUCUUUUUAUUUGACCACCAAAUUAAGAUGCUUUACUGGAAAUUCAAGUGAGCUUAUUCUUUCUGUUCUGAAAUGGGGUUGAGUUUGGUAUCAACGGUGGUGAGAUGGGGAUUGAAAUCGGGAACUGAUGCAGCCCCUGUUGAUUCUAUAACUUUGUUUGUGGCACUCCUUUGUGCUUGUAUUCUUAUCGGUCAUCUUCUUGAGAAGAAUAGAUGGAUGAAUGAGUCAAUUACGGCCCUUUUCAUUGGCCUCUGUACUGGGUUUAUUAUCCUGCUAACCACUAAAGGAAGAAGCUCUCACCUUUUUCUAUUCAAUGAAGAGCUUUUCUUUAUAUACGUUCUUCCACCUAUCAUAUUUAAUGCUGGGUUCCAGGUAAAAAAGAAGCAGUUUUUUCGAAACUUUAUGACGAUCAUAUUAUUUGGAGCUGUUGGGACUUUAAUAUCCUUCAUCAUCAUAUCAUUGGGUUCAAUGCAGUUAUUCAAGAAAUUAAAUAUUGAUUUCUUGGACACAAUGGAUUAUCUAGCACUGGGAGCAAUAUUUUCAGCCACAGAUUCUGUUUGCACCUUGCAGGUGCUCAAUCAGGAAGAAACACCUUUGCUUUAUAGUCUAGUCUUUGGGGAAGGUGUGGUAAAUGAUGCCACCUCUGUCGUGCUUUUCAAUGCAAUUCAACGAUUUGACCUCUCCCACAUUACCUCAAGCAUUGCCAUGCAGCUGUUUGGCAGUUUCGUAUAUUUAUUUGCUACAAGCACGUUGCUUGGGGUGGCAGUUGGAUUAGUAAGUGCUUAUAUCAUAAAGAAGUUGUACUUUGGCAGGCACUCUACUGAUCGUGAAGUUGCUCUGAUGAUUCUCAUGGCUUAUCUUUCAUAUAUUAUGUCUGAAUUGUUCAAUUUAAGUGCGAUUCUCACCGUGUUCUUCUGUGGGAUUGUCAUGUCGCACUACACCUGGCAUAAUGUGACUGAAAGUUCAAGAGUCACUACCAAACACGCAUUUGCAACAUUGUCAUUUAUUGCAGAAAUUUUCA
This 1116-nucleotide unclassified non-coding RNA is filed under the name Hevea brasiliensis (rubber tree). Lineage: Eukaryota; Viridiplantae; Streptophyta; Magnoliopsida; Malpighiales; Euphorbiaceae. The record is from RNAcentral.